RNAcentral lists this ribosomal RNA (923 nucleotides) under uncultured bacterium. RNAcentral's name for it is "bacterial SSU rRNA". It matches the Rfam family "Bacterial small subunit ribosomal RNA", at positions 1 to 958 of the family's 1533-position model. The record is from RNAcentral.
GGCCGCGGGAAUUCGAUUAGAGUUUGAUCCUGGCUCAGAUUGAACGCUGGCGGCAUGCCUUACACAUGCAAGUCGAACGGCAGCGCGUCCUUCGGGAUGGCGGCGAGUGGCGAACGGGUGAGUAAAGCAUCGGAACGUGCCCGGUAGUGCGGGAUAGCUCGGCGAAAGCCGGAUUAAUACCGCAUGAGAUCCGUGGAUGAAAGCAGGGGACCCCUUGUGGGCCUUGCGCUACUGGAGCGGCCGAUGUCAGAUUAGGUAGUUGGUGGGGUAAAGGCCCACCAAGCCUGCGAUCUGUAGCUGGUCUGAGAGGAUGAUCAGCCACAUCGGGACUGAGACACGGCCCGAACUCCUACGGGAGGCAGCAGUGGGGAAUUUUGGACAAUGGGCGCAAGCCUGAUCCAGCCAUGCCGCGUGCAGGAUGAAGGCCCUCGGGUUGUAAACUGCUUUUGUACGGAACGAAAAGCCUCUUUCUAAUAAAGAGGGGUGAUGACGGUACCGUAAGAAUAAGCACCGGCUAACUACGUGCCAGCAGCCGCGGUAAUACGUAGGGUGCGAGCGUUAAUCGGAAUUACUGGGCGUAAAGCGUGCGCAGGCGGUCUUGCAAGACAGUGGUGAAAUCCCCGGGCUCAACCUGGGAACUGCCAUUGUGACUGCAAGGCUGGAGUACGGCAGAGGGGGAUGGAAUUCCGCGUGUAGCAGUGAAAUGCGUAGAUAUGCGGAGGAACACCGAUGGCGAAGGCAGUCCCCUGGCCUGUACUGACGCUCAUGCACGAGCGUGGGGAGCAAACAGGAUUAGAUACCCUGGUAGUCCACGCCCUAACGAUGUCACUUGUUGGGAUUUAUUUCCAGUAACGAAGCUAACGCGUGAAGUUGACCUGAGUACGAAACUCAAUGACGGGACCAGCGGUGUGUGAUUCGAUGCA